AGUGAACGCUGGCGGCGUGCCUAAUACAUGCAAGUCGAACGGAGAUUCAGUAGCUUGCUAUUUAAUCUUAGUGGCGCACGGGUGAGUAAUAUAUAGCUAACUUGCCCAUUACUAAGGGACAACAGUUGGAAACGACUGCUAAUACCUUAUACUCCGUAUCUAUAUAAGUAGAUACGGGAAAGUUUUUCGGUAAUGGAUAGGGCUAUAUCGUAUCAGCUAGUUGGUAAGGUAAUGGCUUACCAAGGCUAUGACGCGUAACUGGUCUGAGAGGAUGAUCAGUCACACUGGAACUGAGACACGGUCCAGACUCCUACGGGAGGCAGCAGUAGGGAAUAUUGCUCAAUGGGGGAAACCCUGAAGCAGCAACGCCGCGUGGAGGAUGACACUUUUAGGAGCGUAAACUCCUUUUCUUGGGAAAGAAUUAUGACGGUACCCAAGGAAUAAGCACCGGCUAACUCCGUG
Molecule: ribosomal RNA, 462 nt
Filed under: uncultured bacterium
Lineage: Bacteria
Description: partial 16S ribosomal RNA
Rfam family: Bacterial small subunit ribosomal RNA
Source: RNAcentral